UUACACUUCACUCUUGCCAACAAUUUCUGCAUACUCAGAUGCGCAGGCAACGACGACUCUUGUCAUCCAAUACACAGCAAUUGGGAUUUGAUUCGAUGCGAUAACCAUCGGUUCUGCAUCAUUUGAUAUGUAUUUUGAUGGAAAGCAACCAAAUUUAGCAAUGAACCUCGUCACCUCAAUCGACACUUUCACUAGGUUUAUAAUAGUCUCGAAUUUGGAUUUCAUCGAUGCAAAAAUCUCAUCACUCUCGUCGGGUAUUUGCUUGAGCAUCGCGACUAAUUUCGCGAGCGGAUCGCUCUUGUAGAGCCUCGCCACGAGGUUGUAUUGGCCGUAUUCGACUACAAAAGAGGCUAAAAUUAUCACGAUUUUAGCCUCCCAUUUGUAGUGUUCAAGCAGUUGCAGAAUUUCCAGUGCUGAGGCAUGGCCAUCCCCGCCCGAGCACUUGCAAUUCAACUAAAUCCAAAAAAGAAAAAAAGAAAAGAAAAUAAUAACGACAACAACAACAACAAUUAUUAAUAAAAAAUGAAAAAAAUGUAUAAUUAAGUAAUAUAAAAAGAUUCGAAUUCCAACCACACAGGUGAUCUGAUGUAACAGAUAGGGUAAGGUGUCCAGAAGGCCGUCGGGCCCCGGUGGGGCUAUGAUUCUCCGGAGCUUGCCGGCCUCGUCUGUCAGACCCUGAUCCUGUAUAAUGGCGACACUUGUAAAAUCUAAACUACCUUAAAAAAAAUGAAUUGAUAAAAUUAAAGAUUAAAAAGGAUAAAUUAACAAACUUACAUCACGAGGGGCGUCGUCUCCCGGCAUGACAUGAUUGAGGAUACCUUCGAUUGAGGCAAGAAGUGAUUCGUCAUCGAACUCGAUGACGUCAUUAGCAUGAAGUUCUAGAACUUUUCUUUCUUAGAGCCGUCUCAUCCGAAGAGGAAACUAGNAGUAUCGCCACUCCUCUCUCACGUACUUCACGAACCCUUGUUUGAUCAACCUCGGAUGCUCCAAAGAGUGCCACGGCAUGCUGCACUUCAACUCCACAACUCUAUCAUUAAAUUCUUUGGUUUCUUCGAUCUUUUCGACAAUCGGGAGCCACACGAUCUCGUAGUGGCACUCUGAUUUCUUUCUCUCUUUGUAGAAAUAUUUGAUUUGGUUGAUUUCUUCGACGGAGAUUUCAAGAUCUGAGAUUAGUAGCAGCACGGUUUUCCCUCUGAGAUCUUCCACACUUAUCUGUUUGGAUACAUUUUGGUAGAGCCUUCAGUCAAUUUAUGUGUUAAUUAAAGACAAAAAUACCUUUUAUUAUCAUAAAAGUAUAUUUUAUUGGUUUUUUUUAUUUGAUUAAUAUACGGGAGAUCAAGAAAAGGAUGGUUCAAAAAAAAAUGUAGUAACACAAUUAACAACUACUAAUAAUAUUUUCAUUAUUUUCACUAUAGAAAUCAGUAUGUCCCACAAUUUUUUGUGUCUCAUCGUAAUUUGAGUAUAUUUAUUAAAAAAAUAAAAUUUUGAAGCUAAAUAAAAUUAAAUACCCUAAUUAUGGAAUUAUCGAACCCUAAUAAUCAAAGAUUAACUAUAAAUUGCAAAUUAAAUUUUUAAAAAUAAUUAUAAAUUCUAAUUGAGUUAGUAAACUCAAAUUAAUAGUUAUAAAAUUAAAAAUUAAACUGAAGUAAUUGAAAUCGUCGACGAAAAAAAAUACUAUAAAAAUUUGAUGGUGGGUUCAUGGAUUUAUGGAACACCAAAAUAUGGGACAGAGGAUCCCAAGUGAAAAAAUUAUAUUAACAUAAUGCAUAAAUAAAUUUGUUAAAACUAAAAUUUAAAAAAAUAAAUAAAAAUUGUUAAAACUAAUAUUUGUAACAAAAUUUGAUUUAAUGAAUUGAUACCUUUGUUUCCACUUGAGGGCCACAUGAAAGAGGAUGCAAGCCAUCUUUCUUUUUCAUAAUAGUCUGUAAUAUUUUCUGGUUGUCAAUGUAGACUGUUGUCUGACCAAACAUUGUCUUUAGUUUCUCAACGUAUCUGAUUUGUUUCUUCUCCGCUGCAAAGUAUUUCCACAUAAUUAAUCCUUAUAUACAUAUAUGUGCUUAAUUAGUUAACAUUUUUCAUGUAUAAUUAAUAGGUCAAAUAUCAUAUUGUAACUCUCAUUUAAGAAAAUACUGUGACCUUUACAAUAUAAAAUAUUAGCAUCUGAUCUAUUGACUAAUUAAAAAUUAAUUGCAUGCUAAGAAAAUAUUAUGAACCCUCGUUGGAUAUAAUGAAUAUAUCUUAACUAAGAACUGUAAAAUUUGAGUAAAAAUUACAAGAAAUUGAAGUUGAAGAUGAGAAAAAUUCUAAGAAAUUUAAUUGUGUGAGACACUAAAAAUCGUGUGUUAGUUUAGUGAAAAGUGGUUAAUGCAUGCCCGAGGCCAAAGGUCUAAAAGGUUCAUGUUUACUGUUACGCGAUCUUUAAAGUUAUUUAUUUUUCAAUAAAAUUAUUUAUGUCACCUAUGUGUAUGCUGCAGGCAUCAUACUGUGUCUGGAAUGAGGUUUGUAUUGUAGUGAUCUUCUGAUGCAAGGUGGUAACGCUCCAUGUUUCUGUGUAUGAACUUGUUCUGCAAAAUUUACAAGUUAAUAAUAAUAAUAAUAACAAUAAUAAUAAUAAUAAUAAUAACUUACACUUCACUCUUGCCAACAAUUUCUGCAUACUCAGAUGCGCAGGCAACGACGACUCUUUCAUCCAAUACACAGCAAUUGGGAUUUGAUUCAUGCGAUAACCUCGGUUCUGCAUCAUGAUAUGUAUUUUGAUGGAAAGCAACCAAAUUUAGCAAUAACCUCGUCACCUCAAUCGACACUUUCACUAGGUUUAUAAUAGUCUCGAAUUUGAUUUCAUCGAUGCAAAAAUUCAUCACUCUCUCGGGUAUUUGCUUGAGCAUCGCGACUAAUUUCGCGAGCGGGUCGCUCUUGUAGAGCCUCGCCACGAGGUUGUAUUGGCCGUAUUCGACUACAAAAGAGGCUAAAAUUAUCACGAUUUUAGCCUCCCAUUUGUAGUGUUCAAGCAGUUGCAAAAUUUCCAGUGCUGAGGCAUGGCCAUCCCCGCCCGAGCACUUGCAAUUCAACU
Molecule: long non-coding RNA, 3070 nt
Filed under: Salvia miltiorrhiza (redroot sage)
Lineage: Eukaryota; Viridiplantae; Streptophyta; Magnoliopsida; Lamiales; Lamiaceae
Description: long non-coding RNA (SMIL_LNC007815)
Source: RNAcentral